This 7248-nucleotide long non-coding RNA is filed under the name Olea europaea (common olive). Its description in RNAcentral is "long non-coding RNA (OEUR_LNC008437)". The record is from RNAcentral. Lineage: Eukaryota; Viridiplantae; Streptophyta; Magnoliopsida; Lamiales; Oleaceae.
CUGUAUUUUCAAAACAUUCAAAACCAACCCCAUCUUGCUUUAUCUUUUUGUUAUUCUUGUAAGGCUAUAUGUAGCCAAUCCAAUUUUUUGAUUGAAUUAGAAAAACAUUCUCCUAAUUUUUUACUACAAAGAAUUCUUGACAAUUGAUAUUAGAGCCCUAUCCCAACGGCCUGAUUGAAGAAUAGUAGCCUUCUAAGGUACUUAGAGACGAGAAUAUGAUGACUAGGAGUGGAUUUGAGCCAACAGCAAUCCUACAAUUCAAUGGGCAUUAUGAUCACUGGUGUAUGCUCAUGGAGAAUUUCAUGCAAUCAAAAGAAUAUUGGAGUAUAAUAGAUGGAAUACCUGCAGCAGUAGAAGGAGUUCAAAUCACAUGAGCACAAAAGAAGGUGAUAGAUGAUGCGAGGUUGAACGAUAUAAAAUCGAAAAAUUAUCUCUUCCGGGCUAUAGGUAUAUCAAUUCUGGAAAUUAUCUUGAACAAGGAUAUAGCCAAAAGCAUUUGGGAUUCCUUGAAGCAGAAAUAUUAGGGUACGGCAAGAGUACAACAUGUGCAACGACAAGCUCUUCAAAAGGAGUUUAAAAUGCUUGUAAGAAAUUAAACCCUAAUACCAAGAUCUUUAGAAUUCAUGAUUUUCACUUUUGAAUUUAAUUGAUCAAGAAGCAUACCUCGUUCCAUGGCAAUAAUUGAGAAUUUUAUAUCUACAAAAUAAGAAACUGUUAAAUUAAGGAAAUUGUUCUCUCACUUUUCCUCUCUAUAAUUGAAUGAAUUUAUUGAUGAAUUUCAUUCAUAUUUAUAGGCAGAGAGAGGCAGUUUCCUAUGGGCCAUAAAACUCUCCACUUUUCAUCAAUGUGGACAAUUAUAAAAUUGCCACUUAUCAAUUCGGCCAAUAGGAUUUUAGUAAUAUUAACCACAUUUAAUUAAUUCUUUAAUAUUACAUGGGCCACAAAAUAAUUGGUUUUACAUUCUCCCACCUGGCUCGUGUAAUAUUACUUCGUUAUGUGGUAUAUAAAAUAAUGCACAUACCAUGAGCUAAAAUCCAUCAUACAUUAGCCACCUAAUAUAUCAUCCUUAAAUAAAGAUUAGUAAGAGUCAUAGCGGUUUUACACCAUCAUAUUAGCAUAAUUCCUUCCAUUUACUACAAUAUUAGUCCCUACCCAACAUGACACAUAUUGAGAAGUUCGAUAAUUGUAUUACAAUAAUGUCUUCGAAAAGACUAUCAGCAUUCACAUAAUCCAUUCAUGUACAUGUAGCAACAGUUAUUACAGGAAUAAUAUUUUGUCAAAAACAAUAUAUAAAUGAGCUCAAAGUGUCAAUACAUAAGCAUCAUAAAUUACAUAAUAAUGUCAAUAAUAAUUUUCAAUAAUGUCCAUCCUUUUGACAUGUUCAUUAAAUGUCUUUGGUGGCAAUCAUUUCAUUAAUGGAUCUGCAGUCAUAAGAUUGGUACUAAUGUGUUCGAUUGACACCCUUUGUUUCUGAAUUUCUUCUUUAACGGCAAAGUACUUCAAUUCCAUGUAUAUAGCACCUUUAGAGUACCUGUCGUUCUUUGAAAAGAAGGCCGCUGUAGAAUUGUCACAAUAAAGUUUCAGCGGCUUGGCAAUACUGUCAACAAUUCCAAGCCCUGAAAUAAAGUUUCGCAGCCAAUUUCCUUGAAUUGUGGCUUCAAAGCAUGCCACAAACUUUUCUUCCAUAGUGGAUGCAGCGAUGACUGACUGUUUCGCACUUUUCCAUGAUAUAGCCCCUCCAGCCAAGAGGAACAAAUAGCCAAAUGUGGACUUUCUAGUAUCCACGCAUCCAGCAAAGUCUGAAUCUGAAUAUCCAAUGACCUCCAAGUUAUCAGAUCUCCUAUAAGUGAGUAUGUGAUCUUUCAUUCCUUGCAAGUAUCUCAAUACUUUCUUUGUAGCUUUCCAAUGUCAAGUCCUGGGUUACUUUGAUACCUGCCCAGCAUUCCGACAACAAAACUGAUGUCUGGCCUGUUGCAAGUCUGAGCAUACAUUAAGCUCCCAACAAGAGAUGCAUAAGGAAUAACCAUCAUUUGUUUGCAUUCCAAUUCAUUUUUAGGACAUUGCAUGAGACUAAACUUGUCUCCUUUUUGAAUUGGAACAACACUCGUCGAACAAUUUUCAUAUUAAAUCUCUCUAAAACUUUAUUGAUAAAUGCUUUCUGAGACAACCCCAACAAUCCUUGUGACCUAUCACGGAAUAUUUCAAUUCCAAUCACAUAGGUUGCCUCUCCCAUAUCUUUCAUUUCAAAAUUUUUGGAGAGAAAUUUCUUAGUCUCGUAUAAUAGAACAAAAUCAUUAGUAGCUAGCAAGAUAUCAUCAACAUACAGAAUCAGUAAUAUAAACUUGCUCCCAUUGACCUUUAGAUAUAUACAUCGAUCAAUGACGUUUUCCUUAAAUCCAAAGGAAGUAAUGAUAUCGUUGAACUUAAGAUACCAUUGACGGGAAGCAUGUUUAAGUCCAUAUAUUGAUUUCUUUAACUUACACACCAUGUGUUCCUUCCCUUCAAAUGAAAAACCUUCAGGCUGAUCCAUAUAAACUUCUUCCUCUAAAUUUCCAUUUAGAAAGGUGGUUUUCACAUCCAUUUGAUGUAGCUCUAAGUCAUAAUGAGCUACUAAAGCCAUUAUAAUUUUGAGUGAGUCUUUCUUAGAGACUGGUGAUAAUGUCUCCUUAUAAUCAAUGCCACCUUUCUGAGUAAAAUAUUUGGCAACAAGUCUAGCUUUAUAUCUAUUGAUAUUAUCAUUAGAGUUGCGCUUAGUCUUAAAGACGCAUUUACACCCAACUCUUUUACAUGAUUCUGGUAAUUCAACAAGAUCCCAGACUUCAUUAUGUUCCAUAGAUUUCAACUCAUCUUUCAUAGCAUCUAACCACUUAUCAGAAUUAGCGCUCUCAAUGGCCUGUGAAAAUGAAACUGGAUCAUCAUCAACAAUUUCCAAAUCAAAUUCAAACUCUCGUAGAUAAACCAAAUAAUCAUUAGAAAUAGCAGUUCUACAUUGUCUUUGUGACCUUCUUAAUGCUAUUUCUUGUGAUUCAUUUAAUGUAGGUUUAUCAGUGGUAACUUCAUUGUGGGGUGUUUGAUCAUUUAUUUGUUGUUCGGCUAUAUUGUCAUGCCGUUCAACAGUUUGAGGAACAAAAACAUUAGAAGAAGUUGAGGAUAGAGAAACUUGAACUCUAACUUCUUGUAUUUCCACAUUUCGUGGUUCCAAACUCCCACUAACUUCACCAUUCUCAAUAAACCUAGCAUUUCCAAUUUCAACAAUUUUAAUACUAUGGUUAGGACAAUAAAAUAUAUACCUCUUUAAUUUUUUUGGAUAAUCAAUGAAAAAUCUACUGAUUGUUCUUGAGUCCAGUUUCUUUUCAUGUGGAUUAUAAAUUUUUGCUUCUGUCGAGCAACCCCAAACAUGCAGGUGCCUUAAACUGGGUUUCCUUCCCAUUCACAAUUUAAAAAAAGUCUUUGGAACUGCCUUACUAGAAACCCUGUUUUGUAGAUACAUAGCAGUCUUUAAUGCAAACAUCCACAAAGAUAUGGGUAAAGAAGAAUUGCUUAACAUACACCUAACCAUUUCUAUUAUAGUAAAAUUACACCUUUCAGCCACACCAUUUUAUUGUGGUGUGCCUGGCAUAGUGUAUUGAGAACAUAUGUCAUGUUUUUCAAGAAUAGCAAAUGGACCAAGGUGUUGUCCACUUUUAUCAUACUUUCCAUAGUAUUCACCACCUCUAUCAGAUCUAAUAAUUUUCACCUUUCUGUCUAAUUGUCAUUCAACUUCAUUGACAAAAAUAUCUAAAACAUUUACAACUUGAGACUUUUCAUAUAGCAAAUAGACAUAACCAUAACGUAAAAAAAUCAUCGAUAAAGGUAAUAAAAUACUUUUCUCCACCAAAUGAUGGAACAUCAAAAUGCCCACAUAUAUCGGUGUGUAUUAUCUCAAGAAGUUGUGUGCUUCUUGUAGCUCUUUUCUUUAUAUGUUUGGUUUGUUUACCCUUAAUACAAUCUACACAAAUUUCAAAAUCACUAAAAUUUAAGUCAGGAACGAUUUCAUUAUUUGCUAAUCUUUUGAUCAUUUCCUUGGAUAUGUGACCCAAACUUAUGCAACAAGUUUGCAGAUUGUUUAUUCAGUUAACCACGUUUAGUAACAACAUUAUGAUGUAAGAUCAAAAGAGUCUCGGCAAAGAGGUUAUCAAGAUUUAAUUUAUAUAAGCCAUCACAAAGAAUAGCGGAACCGAUAAGAUAAUUUUGUUUAAACAAAUUUAAAUGUCCAUUUCCACCAUCUAAGAAAUAUCCAACAGAAUCAAGUUUUCGAUAAAGAAACUAAAUUGUAAGAAAUAGAAGGUACAUAAAGUGUUUGAAAUAAAUCUAAAUGAUGUCCCGUAUCUAAAAUCAAACGAUAAAUUCCAAUGGCUUCAACUGGAGCUUUGACUCGAUUUUUCAUGAAGACAAAUUUUUCAUUUGAAUUUAUAGUCUGGAUUGAAAGAAAUCACUGCAUCGUAUUAGUAACAUGAAUGGUACAUUCAGAAUCAAUCCACCAAGUAUUAUAAGGAACUUCUACCAAAUUAGAUUCUAAACAUACAUAAGAAAUAAUCUUACCUUUACUUUCGAACCAUGCCUUACGUUUCAGGCCGUCCUUUUUAUGGUGCCCUGGUUUACGACAGAAAUGACACGUAUCUUUCUUGUGUUCCUUAUUGUGGAUUUGGGCAAAAGACUUAUUUAUCUUUAGUGGUCCUUGCUUAAUGCCAUUUCCAGAUCUUUUCUUAUAUUUAUUUCCAGCUCCUUGAUGACUUACAAGAUGAAUAGAAUGAGUUUCUUGAUUCUUAAGCCUUGUCUCCUCUUACACGAGCAUACAGUGCAAUUCAUUCACAUUUCAUUUAUCCCUUAAGGUAUCAUAGUUCAUAUGGAAUGGACCGUACUCGGGGAGGCAAAGAGUUGAUGAUAAAUUGUACCAGAAAGUUCUCAUCCACAGUCAUCCCAAGAGUUUUAAGUCUUGCUGCAAUGUUACUCAUUUCAGUAACAUGCUCAUACACGGUACGAGAACCAUCAAAUUUUAUGGUGGUUAAAGUACCCAUCAGUAUGCCAGCAAGUGAUUUGUCAGCUGUUUGGGAACGUUCUUCCACAAACUUCAUAUAUUCCUUAGCAUUCUCAGUUUUAGGGAUAGUAGACUUGAUAUUCUUUGCUAAAGUCAUGUGCAUAAACAUUAAGAUUAAUCUGUUUGACCUUUCCCAAGCCUUAUGGAAAGAUAUUUCAUCAAUACUACUCUCAUAAGUAAGAUCAGCAAGUUUCUCAACUCGAAGUGCCAAGUCCAAGUCCAAAACACCUAUGUUGAAUUGGACUUGUUCACACUAGUCAGAGAAAUUGAGGCCAUUGAACAGUGGUACAGAUGAAGCAUGUGAAUGUAAAGAAAUGAAAACAGAUACUGCAAAAUAUAAAAUGUUCUAACAUUAAUACUUUGAGUUUUAAUUUCAUAUUCAGAUAACAAUAAAUGUGUAUCGUGGUUCUCCUUUGGGUGAUAUUACGUUAUACCAUCAUAAUAAAUAUAAUAAUGCUAAUUUAAUUUCACUUAAUUGGUAAUUAAAUAUACUCUAAUCAAACAUGUAUGAUAUCUUUGGAUAUACAAAACACAUCAGACCAAAUAAAUCAAUUAACCACAAUCACGUUCAAGAGUAAUAAAAUUAACCGAUCAAUCUUUGAGCGAUCUAUAAUAAUUUUAUAAUCUAUGAACGUCAAUAUACUCUUGACACUAAUAAUAAAGUCAUUUUCAUUUAUAAGCAUCAAACUAUCAGGAGUAAUUGACAAAUAAAUUAUGUAAUUUAGUGUUCGAAAUACCAUAAUGUUUUGCCACUUUUGUGACUAACAAACAACAUUAAUCAAACAUUAAUUGCGUAAAUAAAACAUUUAUCACUUAAUGCUUUUAGUCAUUUUCUUGUUUAUUCAUUAUUGACAUAAAUAGACUAGGCACGUUCCAACACAAAUAAACAAGGCGGUAAAAUUCUGCAUAUAGUAAAGAUGCAUUUCUUGGCGAGCGGAAUAGUCAAUUCUCAAUAAAUUACCCAUUAAUUGACUAUUAACAUGCUUAAGUAAUAAACAGAACAAAAGUUUGCAGUCAAGGCAGCACUAAUAAUUACAAUUAGUUAUUCAUUCACAUGUAGAAUUAAAAAUCCAUUUAUUUAUCAUAUAUCAUUGAUCAAUUUGGCCCCAUAGAGUAAUUGGAAAUUGAAAAAAAUGCUUCAACCAAAAAAUACAGUGACGGCUCAUGAUGGCAAAAUCAAAGAUUGGACUUCUCUCAAACCAAUCAUAAUUUAACAGACACAACAUGGUAUUUCAUUAGUAAUUUGACAGAGAGUAAAUGAGAAAUCGCACCAUUGCAAUAUAAAAUAAAAAUUGACUCAUGAGCCACAUUUUUUCAAAAAAAUACAUUCUUAAAUAGUGAUUUAACAUCAUUUCAAUCACACAUUUUUUAAUAAAAUAAUAUUACACUUAAAUUCAAAAAUUUUCUUUAUUUUUUAACCACAUAUUUUUCGUCAAUACACUAUUCAAAAAUGUAUUUUACGGAAAAUAAUGUGACUCAAACAAGGGCUUAAUGUGUAUAGAUUUCAACCCAUAAAUAAUAAUAAAACCUAUGACUGGCCAUCAUCAAUAGUAAAUGCAGAGUCUAUGUCGGUACCAUUAUUAAAAAAAAAAAAAAGAUUGAACCCCAACUUUAAGGGUUCCACCAUCCCGUCUCUAGAGCUUUGUGAGGGAGGUAAAUCGCGGGAUGUGCCCCAGUAGACCAGGAAACAAGAGCUGCAUAUACACUGCGCCUACAAAUGGUCCAAUUUCAUAUCUCAGGAAUCGAACCCCUACACUGCGACUGUCAGUAAGUCGUGAGAUAACCUCACUCAUGUCCUUUACACCACUGGAUUAUGCUCCGAGGGGCAUGUUGAUACCAUUAUAGAUUAAACGAGUUUUAAAUUCAUUGGAAACCAAUUCAUGGAACUAUCCACUAAUAAUUAUCCAUGGCCAUUGAUACGGUUAAACAUAAUUUUGUGGUCAGAAAAUAUUCAGCAGUGGAACCAUCAUUCUAAUUUCAGAUCUUAACCCAUAAAUUUAUAAAGACAGUUAAAGAUCCCAUUUGAAAACAGUAUCUUUAAAGAAAAAUCAAGAAUUUCACAACUUGGCUCUGAUACCACAUGUAAGAAAUUAAACCCUAAUGUUAAGAUCUUUAAAAUUCAUGAUUUUCACUUUUGAAUUUAAUAGAUCAAGAAACAUACCUCGAUCCAU